Molecule: ribosomal RNA, 484 nt
Filed under: uncultured bacterium
Lineage: Bacteria
Description: partial 16S ribosomal RNA
Rfam family: Bacterial small subunit ribosomal RNA
Source: RNAcentral
AUUGAACGCUGGCGGCAGGCCUAACACAUGCAAGUCGAGCGGAUGAAGGGAGCUUGCUCCUGGAUUCAGCGGCGGACGGGUGAGUAAUGCCUAGGAAUCUGCCUGGUUGUGGGGGAUAACGUCCGGAAACGGGGGCUAAUACCGCAUAAGUCCUGAGGGAGAAAGUGGGGGAUCUUCGGACCUCACGCUAUCAGAUGAGCCUAGGUCGGAUUAGCUAGUUGGUGGGGUAAAGGCCUACCAAGGCGACGAUCCGUAGCUGGUCUGAGAGGAUGAUCAGUCACACUGGAACUGAGACACGGUCCAGACUCCUACGGGAGGCAGCAGUGGGGAAUAUUGGACAAUGGGCGAAAGCCUGAUCCAGCCAGGCCGCGUGUGUGAAGAAGGUCUUCGGAUUGUAAAGCACUUUAAGUGGGGAGGAAGGGCAGUAAGUUAAUACCUUGCUGUUUUGACGUUACCAACAGAAUAAGCACCGGCUAACUUCGUG